CGCUGCCGCUGCUGCCGCCGCCGCCGCCGCCGCGGAGUAAAACCUUCCCGCCUGCGCUCCGAGUUCUCCAGCGCUCUGCUCGCCGUGGUACGGCAGCGAAAAGUUGUCCUGGCCAUUUGGAACAAGGUGAGCUCACAAGGUCACAUGCUGAACUCACUGGUGUUGACACCGACGGCAGGGGCAGAUCAUCUCCUGUGUUACACUGAGCAGGCCAGCCGUGUGUCCCUCUCGUUGCUCCGAGGCUGAACAUCACCUCUCUGGCUUUAGAUACACUACCUCGCUGCAGGAAAUCCACCAGUGUCCCCAUGAUAAACUCACCUUCUGUCCACAGUUAGCCCACUCACACAUUCUCUAAUAACAUGUACACAAGUGUUACAUUUACAGUGACAUCUUCCUCUGUACCCUGCAGUGGAUUCUGAUGGCAGGAUGGUUCAGUAAUACUGCUGCGAUGACACACUUGGCACAGAAGCUUAGGCUGCCACUCUCAGCCUGAUGAAAGCACCCACUGCUUGGUGGAAAUAUAUUUAGUCUCACAUCAGAAAGGACCACUGUGGGAAAACACAGCGCAAGAGAGCACUAGGCUAAGGAAGACGGAAGACAUCCUGUAAUGAUACCUGCCUCUUUUUUUACCCACAGAAGUUAAUUCCACACUUUUUUUAAUGUUCACAUGAGGUCAGUUUUAUGAUCUAUUAAAUGUAAUUGAGCGCCUACCUUUUUCUCGUGUACUAAAUGUCACUAAUGUACUAAAGCACUAAUGAGCAUGUGGGUGACAUUUAGGUUAUUGAGCAGUGCCAAGGAGGAACUAGAGCAAGAAAGCCAGCAUGUUUUUGGAGGUGGGAAGAACUGGAGAACCUGGAGGAAACCAAUGCAGAUAUAUGAAGAGAACAUGUGACACUCCGCACUGAGAGUACCCUGAGUUCAAGAUCAACACUACCCACUGCUCUAUCAUGCUCCCCUCUAAUCUGCAAAAGUUUCCUUAAAGUACAAAAAGGAUGCAGUAGCUAUAAAAUGCACAUAGUAGUACUGGCCAGGCUACAUACAAUAAGAGAUACCUGAGAAAAGCAAACAGCAUCAUUUUGGAAUUAACACAUUCCAGCUACAGCUUGUUUAAUCCUCUAUCAUCUCGGAAAUGUUACCAGCUUCUGAGUCUGAAUGAACAACCAAAAUCAAGAAGAACUACUUACACUCUUGUUGCCACACUGGUCACACCAGUGGUGGGUGGGUUAGUGGUUAGCAUGCUUGCCCUGCACCUCCAGGGUUGGGGGCUCGAUUCCGCCCUGCAUGCGCAGAGCUUGUAUGUUCUUCCUGUGCUUUGUGGGUAUUCUGGCUUCCUCUCCCAGUCCAAAGACCUGCGUCGCCUGAUUGGCAUCCCUAAAUUGUCCGUAGUGUGUGAAUGGUUGUGUGAGUGUGUGUGCCCUGUGAUGGACUGGCGCCCUGAGUCCCCUGGGAUAGGCUCCAGGCUCCCUGUGUCCCUGUGUAGGAUAAGCAGUACAGAGAUGGAUGGAUGGAUCUACUUCAAAUGCUGUGAAACACAGUGCACAACCAAAAUGAAUGCUGUAGGGCUGACCUUGCACAUCGUGAACCUUGAGCUUUAUAACCUUGACUUGUAACUGUGAACUUCACUACUUUGUUACUGAAUACAAAAUAAUACAAGGCAAUUUUUUUGCAAACUUUUUCACAUUAAUAAUGAGAUUUUACUGUGAUACUGUGAACUGUGAAUUGCAAAUAUUUUAAUUGUCAUAAACACCUAAGAACAGCCCAAAUGUGUUUCAUAUUA
Pangasianodon hypophthalmus (striped catfish) is the source of this 1777-nucleotide long non-coding RNA. RefSeq lists it as uncharacterized. The transcript is spliced from 3 exons. The record is from RefSeq and is a predicted model, not a curated record. Lineage: Eukaryota; Metazoa; Chordata; Actinopteri; Siluriformes; Pangasiidae.